The sequence is a transfer RNA, 105 nucleotides long. It matches the Rfam family "tRNA". From Rfam's summary of the family: Transfer RNA (tRNA) molecules are approximately 80 nucleotides in length. Their secondary structure includes four short double-helical elements and three loops (D, anti-codon, and T loops). Further hydrogen bonds mediate the characteristic L-shaped molecular structure. tRNAs have two regions of fundamental functional importance: the anti-codon, which is responsible for specific mRNA codon recognition, and the 3' end, to which the tRNAs corresponding amino acid is attached (by aminoacyl-tRNA synthetases). tRNAs cope with the degeneracy of the genetic code in two manners: having more than one tRNA (with a specific anti-codon) for a particular amino acid; and 'wobble' base-pairing, i.e. permitting non-standard base-pairing at the 3rd anti-codon position. The record is from Rfam.
GGAUCCAUGGCGCAACGGUAGCGCGUCUGAUUCCAGCAAAAGUUGGAGUGUCCAAUCUCCUGCGGAGGUUCCAGAAGGUUGAGCGUUCAAAUCGCUCUGGGUUCA